UACGUAGGGGGCAAGCGUUGUCCGGAAUCAUUGGGCGUAAAGAGCGUGUAGGCGGUCCGAUAAGUCCGCUGUAAAAGUCAAGGGCUCAACCCUUGAAAGCCGGUGGAUACUGUCGGGCUAGAGUUCGGAAGAGGCGAGUGGAAUUCCCGGUGUAGCGGUGAAAUGCGCAGAUAUCGGGAGGAACACCAAUGGCGAAGGCAGCUCGCUGGGACGUUACUGACGCUGAGACGCGAAAGCGUGGGGAGCAAACAGG
This 253-nucleotide ribosomal RNA is filed under the name uncultured bacterium. RNAcentral's name for it is "partial 16S ribosomal RNA". It matches the Rfam family "Bacterial small subunit ribosomal RNA", at positions 524 to 776 of the family's 1533-position model. The record is from RNAcentral.